CUUCAUCAACCUGCUGAGGGCAGAUAAAAUGAAUAUGGGCAUCGAUGCCACCGGCAGUUAAUAUUUUGCCUUCACCAGCAAUAAUUUCGGUGCUGGCACCGAUGGCGAUGGUCACACCAUUUUGAAUGUCGGGAUUACCGGCUUUACCUAUACCACUUAUGCGCCCUUGUUUAAUGGCCACAUCGGCUUUAACUAUGCCCCAGGUAUCUAAAAUCAGGGCAUUGGUGAUGACUAAAUCUGGCACAUCGGCAUAACCCAACUGGCUUUGCCCCAUGCCAUCACG
RNAcentral lists this small RNA (283 nucleotides) under Paraglaciecola hydrolytica. RNAcentral describes it as "Paraglaciecola sp. S66 5' ureB small RNA". It matches the Rfam family "5' ureB small RNA". The record is from Rfam by way of RNAcentral. Lineage: Bacteria; Pseudomonadati; Pseudomonadota; Gammaproteobacteria; Alteromonadales; Alteromonadaceae.